RNAcentral lists this ribosomal RNA (253 nucleotides) under uncultured bacterium. Its description in RNAcentral is "partial 16S ribosomal RNA". It matches the Rfam family "Bacterial small subunit ribosomal RNA", at positions 524 to 776 of the family's 1533-position model. The record is from RNAcentral.
UACGGAGGAGGCAAGCGUUAUCCGGAAUUAUUGGGCGUAAAGCGUCCGCAGGUGGCGAUUCAAGUCUGCGGUUAAAGACUGGGGCUUAACCCUGGAAAGGCCGUGGAAACUGAAACGCUAGAGUGCAGUAGGGGUAGAGGGAAUUCCCGGUGUAGCGGUGAAAUGCGUAGAGCUCGGGAAGAACAUCGGUGGCGAAAGCGCUCUGCUGGACUGCAACUGACGCUGAGGCACGAAAGCGUGGGGAGCAAACAGG